CUCAGACUUCCACCACAGUGUUUUUGAAGUGUGGGUCCAUUGCCCAGGUUUUGAAGAUAACUUAAGACUUGUGAGAAAGACAGCAGCAAGUGAAAUUGAAUCCUGCAUCCCCUGGUUUGCAAUAGAUCAAGAGGAAGACAGCCUUAAACAAAACAUAGUCAAACAGCAGACUUGCUGUCAACUCCAGCACGUUACUAAGCUCUGAGGGCUCAGG
RNAcentral lists this long non-coding RNA (214 nucleotides) under Calidris pugnax (ruff). Its description in RNAcentral is "lncRNA (ENSCPUG00000006890.1)". Lineage: Eukaryota; Metazoa; Chordata; Aves; Charadriiformes; Scolopacidae. The record is from RNAcentral.